This 253-nucleotide non-coding RNA is filed under the name uncultured bacterium. RNAcentral describes it as "partial 16S ribosomal RNA". It matches the Rfam family "Bacterial small subunit ribosomal RNA", at positions 524 to 776 of the family's 1533-position model. RNAcentral also lists the same sequence under 2 other names. The record is from RNAcentral.
UACGUAGGGUGCGAGCGUUAAUCGGAAUUACUGGGCGUAAAGCGUGCGCAGGCGGUUUUGUAAGUCAGAUGUGAAAUCCCCGAGCUCAACUUGGGAACUGCGUUUGAAACUACAAGACUAGAAUAUGUCAGAGGGGGGUAGAAUUCCACGUGUAGCAGUGAAAUGCGUAGAGAUGUGGAGGAAUACCAAUGGCGAAGGCAGCCCCCUGGGAUAAUAUUGACGCUCAUGCACGAAAGCGUGGGGAGCAAACAGG